CCCGGUGGCUGCCGGCCCCGCGGGGGGCUCCGGUAGCAUCGCCGCUCCUGUCGUGACCCCCCAGCCCUGGCGUCGCGGGGGGCUCCCGUAUCAUCGCCCUUCGUACCGUGACCUCCCCGGCCCUGAGCUCGCCUCAAGGCAGGCCGAGGUGCCGCCGGGAACGAAAGCCAUGACCCAUUUUCCGCGUUUUUCCGAAUAAUGCUGGCGAGAAAAUACGCCUUGUUUUGCCGAUCGGCCGGCCUGCGGUGGGCUGGGGAGCCGGUCCCUGCCGCGGAGGUUCGGGCAGGUCAGGUUUGCUUCACUGAUGGAUAUAGGGCAGAUGGAGUGCUCGGAGAAUGGUGCAGGUCAGGGGUUUGCUUCACUGAUGGAUAUAGGGCAGAUGGAGUGCUCGGAGAUUCGGGCAGGUCAGGGGUUUGUUUCGCUGAUGGAUAUAGGGCAGCUGGGGUGCUCGCAGCCUCGUCCCGGAAAAGCCCUCGAGCAUCGUUGUUCCUUUGAUGGCUGGAGCUGCAGCACCGCGCCCGGGUCUGCAGAUAGCCUCAGUGCGAGCUCUCUGAAGUACGAUGCUUCUUGGCCUUAAUUUCAGUAAUUAACAGUUUGCAGUAAUCGAUAAUUAUCGAAGUUAUCCGCUGCCUUUUCCCUUCGGGAGGCUGGUACAGCCGAAUGCCCCGGUGUGCCGGGGCAGCGUGUCCAGCCCUGCGGGCGGGCAGCGCCGGGGACACGCCGAGCGUUCGCCACCGGGACUGGAGUGGCAGCCAAGGCACGAGUGCCUUCCCCUGCCUAGGAAAAAACUUAAGACUGCUGGAAAUGCUGGUUUAGGUGCAGAACCGAGGGAACUGGGAAGUCUGCGAGUCACAGGUGCUUAGAGAUCUGCAAAUUGUCAUAGCCGGGGUCCCUCCUCUGCGGGAGGCUUUGGUUCGCAGGAGGCUGCAGAUGGAUCCCUUCUCCUGCCGUUCAUUAACCUGGAUUUCUCCGUGAGACUUUAUAGCUUUCGGUGGAUCUUUGCAGCCAGUGGCUUACUAAGGUGCUUUGUGACCCCCGUGGCAGGUGAAGGCUCCUGCCUGCCUUUCUAGAGGCUUCUGCUAACACAGUCUAUCAGAUGAACAGCAUGACCUACAUCUUUCCUGUCCAUGUUCUUCCAGUGCUCUUGAAGAAACUUCAGACCUAGGUGGCAUUACAGCUGCCUCCCUCCCCUCAAUAUCUUUCAGUUCAAACAGUUUGGACAGCUCAGGUUUCUUACUAAAUAUCUAACAGAGCAACUAAGUUUCUGUUUCUGCCCUUGAAGAAGUUGUUUCUACCUCAAAGCCAUUUUGCAGUUGCGCAAAUAACAUGCCAUGCACCUAAGACUCUGCGUUUCCACCCAAAGUCUUUCUGUUGCAGGGAGGCCAAAUGAGUUUUGAUUCUCAGUAAAAUUCAGUUUGAUGGAAAUCCUGAAAAUGCUUGUAACAAGUUAUUUCAUUUGGUUUUUCAGUUAACCUCUAUUUGCCUUUGAAAGGUCCACUGAUGGUUCAGUGGACACUUUAUUUUUCAAUAUUAAAUGAUUUUUUUUAAUCCUUUCUCUAAUGUUAAAAUUACUGAAUCUGCAAAAUAAGGAAAUAGAAUGAGUCAGUUGAUGGGUGGAUUAAGGAAAGAUACAAGAAAA
Haemorhous mexicanus (house finch) is the source of this 1639-nucleotide long non-coding RNA. RefSeq lists it as uncharacterized. The record is from RefSeq and is a predicted model, not a curated record. The transcript is spliced from 2 exons. Lineage: Eukaryota; Metazoa; Chordata; Aves; Passeriformes; Fringillidae.